This 126-nucleotide small nucleolar RNA is filed under the name Marmota marmota marmota (Alpine marmot). RNAcentral describes it as "Small nucleolar RNA SNORA28 (ENSMMMG00000020405.1)". It matches the Rfam family "Small nucleolar RNA SNORA28". Rfam says of the family: ACA28 is a member of the H/ACA class of snoRNA that guide the sites of modification of uridines to pseudouridines. The record is from Rfam by way of RNAcentral. Lineage: Eukaryota; Metazoa; Chordata; Mammalia; Rodentia; Sciuridae.
AAGCAACACUCUAUGACAGAUUACUGAAACUGUCUGAUACAAUUUGAGCCUGCUAUAGCAAGAAAGUGUAACCUAUUCCAGUGUUCUCUCUUCCAUGAGACAAGCUGUUAUAUAGGCUUAAGCAGU